GAUGAAGAACGCAGCGAAAUGCGAUAAGUAGUGUGAAUUGCAGAAUUCAGUGAAUCAUCGAAUCUUUGAACGCACAUUGCGCCUCCUGGCAUUCCGGGAGGCAUGCCUGUUCGAGCGUCAUCAAACCCCAUCGUGCAAAUGAAUUAUUUUUUUUGCGCGGAAGUGACGAUUGAGCGAGAAUAACAAAUCCUCUCGCACCUCGUCGAAAUGAUUGCGGGCGGAAUUUGGGAUCGGGUUCCUCGGCGUAGUGUAUCAAUGCUUAUUUAUGCAACUUGCCGCGGAGUUGAGCCUGACCCACGCGUUCUCGCCGUACAAACACCUCAUUACUUUACAAGUUUUUGACCUCGGAUCAGGUAGGGAUACCCGCUGAACUUAAGCAUAUCAAUAAGCGGAGGA
Molecule: unclassified non-coding RNA, 396 nt
Filed under: soil metagenome
Description: partial contains 5.8S ribosomal RNA, internal transcribed spacer 2, and large subunit ribosomal RNA
Rfam family: 5.8S ribosomal RNA (bases 1-120)
Source: RNAcentral